RNAcentral lists this ribosomal RNA (490 nucleotides) under uncultured bacterium. RNAcentral describes it as "partial 16S ribosomal RNA". It matches the Rfam family "Bacterial small subunit ribosomal RNA", at positions 28 to 506 of the family's 1533-position model. The record is from RNAcentral.
GAUGAACGCUAGCGAUAGGCUUAACACAUGCAAGUCGAGGGGUAACGUGUUGGAAGCUUGCUUCCGAUGACGACGACCGGCGGAUGGGUGCGUAACGCGUAUGCAACUUGCCUCACAGUGGAGAAUAACACGGAGAAAUCCGGACUAAUACUCCAUACACUCUUAAGUACGCCUGUACAUGAGAGGAAAGAUUUAUCGCUGUGAGAUAGGCAUGCGUCCUAUUAGGUAGUUGGUGAGGUAACGGCUCACCAAGCCGACGAUAGGUAGGGGUGCUGAGAGGCAGAUCCCCCACAUUGGGACUGAGACACGGCCCAAACUCCUACGGGAGGCAGCAGUGAGGAAUAUUGGUCAAUGGAGGAAACUCUGAACCAGCCAAGUCGCGUGAAGGAAGAAUGUCCUAAGGAUUGUAAACUUCUUUAGCGAGCGAGUAAGGACUUCCACGGGAUGGGAGUUUGAAAGUAGCUCGAGAAUAAGUAUCGGCUAACUCCGU